Molecule: long non-coding RNA, 557 nt
Filed under: Nicotiana benthamiana
Lineage: Eukaryota; Viridiplantae; Streptophyta; Magnoliopsida; Solanales; Solanaceae
Description: long non-coding RNA (NBEN_LNC015689)
Source: RNAcentral
AAGAACUUAACAGAAAAAAACGAAAUUUUUGAACAGAAAGCAGGAACUUAAUAGAUAAAAUGAAGUAUUUUUUACAGAAAGCAAAAACUUAACCCCCCAAAAAAAAAGAAAAAAGAUAGAUUUGGACAGAAAGCAGGAGAUUAAAAGAGAAAAAUGCAAUCUUUUGAGAGAAAGAAAGAAAGAACUUAACAGAAAAAAUUGAAACCUUUCAGAAAGCAUGAGAUUAAAAGACAAACAGUGGGAGCAUACCAGAAAAAAAAAAAAAAAAAAAAAAAAAAAAAAAAAAAAGCCAGUAAUUGUUGGUAAGAAAGGAUUUAAGUUUUUUUUUGGGAAAAAAAAAAAAAAAAAGUGGAACUUGUGACAGAAAGAAUGAGGUUUAGAUGAGGUUGAGAGAGUACAGUUGGGAGAUGACGAAUUGAAUAACAGAGAAGAUUGGAAAUAAAUGCAAACUUCGGUAGCUUUGGGAAGGUAACGUACUAACAGCCAUUUUUCAACACUUUUCUUAUUAAACCUUUCGUCGAAUACAAAGUCUACAAAAAGCUAAAAGUCAAUUAAAU